GAUGAACGCUAGCGAUAGGCCUAACACAUGCAAGUCGAGGGGCAUCACGGAGUAGCAAUACUUUGGUGGCGACCGGCGCACGGGUGAGUAACGCGUAUGCAAUCUACCUACAACAGGUGGAUAACCAGGAGACAUCCGGACUAAUACCGCAUAACACAGGGGUCCCGCAUGGAAAUAUUUGUUAAAGAUUUAUCGGUUGUAGCAGAGCAUGCGUUCCAUUAGGUAGUUGGUGAGGUAACGGCCCACCAAGCCUGCGAUGGAUAGGGGAACUGAGAGGUUUGUCCCCCACACUGGAACUGAGACACGGACCAGACUCCUACGGGAGGCAGCAGUGAGGAAUAUUGGUCAAUGGGCGAGAGCCUGAACCAGCCAAAUCGCGUGAAGGAAGACUGCCUUAUGGGUUGUAAACUUCUUUUGUACAGGAAUAAAAAGAGGGACGUGUCCUUCAUUGCAUGUACUGUACGAAUAAGCAUCGGCUAACUCCGUGCCAGCAGCCGCAGUAA
Molecule: ribosomal RNA, 503 nt
Filed under: uncultured bacterium
Lineage: Bacteria
Description: partial 16S ribosomal RNA
Rfam family: Bacterial small subunit ribosomal RNA
Source: RNAcentral